Molecule: long non-coding RNA, 444 nt
Organism: Sorghum bicolor (sorghum)
Lineage: Eukaryota; Viridiplantae; Streptophyta; Magnoliopsida; Poales; Poaceae
Exons: 2
Source: RefSeq, a predicted model, not a curated record
AAUUCAAGAGUUCAAGGACAUAGCCAUUAUUGAUGGCCAUGCUGCCAAGUCACAAAUUCAAGGAAGUAAAAAGAGGAUUGUUACCGCCACCAACAUCAAGUCCCAACCAACAAAAUCCUCCAGCACCAAAGCAAGCAGCAAGUCCUCCAAGCCUACAUCAAGUGACCCUGUUUGUAAACCAAUGAAAAGCUGAAGGGGAGUGACCAAGACUCCAACAGGGCAAGAGAUGCUUGCUAGCUUGCUGCUGCAUACUUGUGCUUUCACUGUUGUGCUGCUGCUGGUCCUAAUUCUUGUCGUCGCCUUACAUUUUGAUGAUUUGUAAUAUGUAUUGAGUACUAAGUUAUAUGGAUCUCUUGUGGAGAACUAUAUUAUGUAUUUGUGGUUAUCUACUGCUAUAGUCUUGUGGAUUUUUAUAUGUAUGAUUUUGGUACUCUUAUUUUAUAA